CCUCCUCCUCCUCCUCCACACUCUCCAGUUUCUUCCCCAACAUGUAUGAAAACUAUUUUACCUGUUAGAACAAGGCUUGAUUCUUCUCCUUGUCAAACUCAAGCACCACCAUCUCCACACACUCCUCCACAAAAGGAUCAAGAGCAAAUAAGACUAAGACAUCCUCCUUCUCCACCAACUCCUCCUCCAAAGAAUGAAACACAUGCCAACGCUGGACCUUCUCAUUCCCCUCCACCUCCACCUCCACCUCCUUGUGUUUAUAGAAAAGCUGAAAGUCCUACUAUAGCACCACCACCUCCACCGCCGC
RNAcentral lists this long non-coding RNA (307 nucleotides) under Lupinus mutabilis. RNAcentral's name for it is "partial ncRNA". Lineage: Eukaryota; Viridiplantae; Streptophyta; Magnoliopsida; Fabales; Fabaceae. The record is from RNAcentral.